This is a long non-coding RNA of Planococcus citri (citrus mealybug), 460 nucleotides long. RefSeq lists it as uncharacterized. NCBI's taxonomy places the organism in Eukaryota, Metazoa, Arthropoda, Insecta, Hemiptera, Pseudococcidae. The record is from RefSeq and is a predicted model, not a curated record. The transcript is spliced from 2 exons.
UAGUUCACCUUGUUAUCAGUACUAUUAAAACAUCCGGUAUACAUUUUCGUCUUUCGUAAAUUCUAAUCUUAUGUUACAUACUCGUACGUGCUAUAUUAUUAUUACCAUAAUUUAAUCAGACCGAAACAGAACCUACGUACUACGUAGGUAAAAUAAGGUAAUUUUCACCAGAAUGGAGCCAGUGUUUUCUCUUCGAACUUGAACAGAAAGACUUUUGAAGGUACUACGUAUGUAUACUUGUAGCCCUUUCAUUUUACUCCUGAUGGGAGCCAAGAAGGAAGUCUGAGAGUUGGUACACCUUCGGCAAUGACUAGUAUAUGGAUGAUGAAGUAAUCUCUCUUCACCGUACAAAUCGCUAUCAACGGUAAUACCCAUCGAGUAAUGUGUACGAGUAUUUAAAACACACGAAGAAAGCAGCGAAAAAAAAACCACAACACAACAACGACAACCGUUUUUAAAC